CCUACGGGUGGCAGCAGUAGGGAAUUUUCGUCAAUGAGCGCAAGCCUGAACGAGCAAUGCCGCGUGAACGAGGAAGGUCUUCGGAUCGUAAAGUUCUGUUGUAGGGGAAAAAGAGCGGAGAGAGGAAAUGAACUCCGAUUGAUAUUACCCUUCGAGGAAGUCACGGCUAACUAUGUGCCAGCAGCCGCGGUAAUACGUAGGUGGCGAGCGUUAUCCGGAAUGAUUGGGCGUAAAGGGUGCGUAGGCGACCUGCUAAGUCUGGAGUGAAAGGUACCGGCUCAACCGGUACAGGCUCUGGAAACUGGCGGGCUAGAGAGAAGGAGAGGGCAGUGGAACUCCAUGUGUAGCGGUAAAAUGCGUAGAUAUAUGGAAGAACACCAGUGGCGAAGGCGGCCGCCUGGCCUGUUACUGACGCUGAGGCACGAAAGCGUGGGGAGCAAAUAGGAUUAGAUACCCGUGUAGUC
This 464-nucleotide ribosomal RNA is filed under the name uncultured bacterium. Its description in RNAcentral is "partial 16S ribosomal RNA". It matches the Rfam family "Bacterial small subunit ribosomal RNA", at positions 338 to 795 of the family's 1533-position model. The record is from RNAcentral.